RNAcentral lists this long non-coding RNA (225 nucleotides) under Lathyrus oleraceus (garden pea). Its description in RNAcentral is "Pisum sativum (pea) long non-coding RNA (PSAT_LNC002467)". The record is from RNAcentral. Lineage: Eukaryota; Viridiplantae; Streptophyta; Magnoliopsida; Fabales; Fabaceae.
AAUUUGGAAGGAGCGAAGUUUAUAUAACUUACCAUUCUGAUUCAGAAGUUUCCUCUCCUGAUUCUUCACAUAACCACCUCUCAUUCUCCAUCCACCAUCAAUCUCAAACGACGUCAAUUCCCAGCUUCUUCCUUCUUUUCACUUCCUCUACCUUCUUCACACUCCAUCAUCUUCAAACCACCCUUCAUCAAUCACUCUCCUCAACUCUCCAUUUUCAAUAACUUC